AUUGCCUGACGAAUCCCAAACAGGACGAAACGCGCAUCCUGGAU
This is a non-coding RNA of Schistosoma haematobium, 44 nucleotides long. The record is from Rfam. Lineage: Eukaryota; Metazoa; Platyhelminthes; Trematoda; Strigeidida; Schistosomatidae.